Molecule: long non-coding RNA, 1287 nt
Organism: Haliotis rubra (blacklip abalone)
Lineage: Eukaryota; Metazoa; Mollusca; Gastropoda; Lepetellida; Haliotidae
Exons: 2
Source: RefSeq, a predicted model, not a curated record
UGAGGCAUUGGGCGCUGGUGGCACAUCAUGCAAUGCAUUGGCAAUGCUAGGCUUGUGUCACAUGAGGUGUUACUAGGCCUGUGUCAAAUGUCACGUGAGACGCUGCUAAGCUUGUGUCACGUGUCACCUGAGGCGUUGCUAGACUUGUGUCACAUGAAGCGCUGCUAGAUUUGCUUCCUAUGAGGCAUUGCUAGGCUUGUCUUACAUGAGAUGUUUGCAAGACUGGCGUCCCGCUACUGGUGUAGGUGCAGUGUCAGAGCCAGUAAGAUGCUAGCUUCUCACAGCAAGGUGACUGCUGGGUACAGGAGUGGUGGGUGUUGAUGGCUCCUGGGGACAACCCAUGUGUUGUUCCCCCACAAAUAUGUCAGGUGUAACAACAGGUAUGAAGCAAAAUUCUGUUUACAGACUUUAGCAUCAAAAUGAAUUCUUCACACAUUUAUUGAGACAUUUAUGUGAUUUUGAUUUAAAUCAACACAGAAUAAUCAUUAGGUGUUAAGUGUUUGUGUAUGACAGUCCUCCAGGAUUGGGGCAUUGUGUCAUAGACCCUGGAGGAGAGUCACCAAUGCUCACCCACAUGUACCAAGCACCCCUCUGCUUUCUAUUUAUUUCUGCAGUGGUCAUGUCAGUGGGAAGUCACAAGCUGUUCCAAUCCUUUACAGUGAACUUCAGAUGUCCCUUGCUUGUCUUGUAAUAUGAAUUCAAAUGGGUCUAUGUACAUCAGGGAUCCGUCCCACAGCUGUUGUAGCGCUACAACAUCCGAAGCCUAUGUUAAAUCAUGGGAGGGAAUGGGACCCUGUCCUGUGAUCUGAUACUGUAACAUGUGCAGAAUUAAUCAAUUUGUUUUCCGGAAACCACUGAUUUCUUGGUAUGUUGACUGGCAGUUGUUGCCCCUAUACUGACAUGGCCGUCUGCACCCGAAGCUGAUGUUAACCAAUGACUUCCUUCUCCCUCUGCUGUAUAUUCUCAUUGUCCACACAGUGUAGCCCGUAUCUGUCAGGGGUAGUGUGUGUGCUGCCUGGUGGGCCGCACCAGAGUGGAUACAAGUGAUGUUUGCAAUGACCAGCUUUAACUUUAUGAAGGAAAGGUGCACUUGAGAUAUUGCCAGACAUUAGCUACUCAUACAUUGUUUGUACACAUCUUGUACUUGGGAUGUUACCAUGGAAACUGGUUGUCGGUCUCAUGACUGAUUGGUUGAUGUACGAGCCAAUCAGAGUUCUGUAGCAGACAAUGCUUGUUCUAUCUUGUAAUGCUUCAAAGGUUUCAGGAUAAUAAAUCAGUUUUGAUUUA